CCUACGGGGUGCAGCAGUGAGGAAUAUUGGUCAAUGGCCGGAAGGCUGAACCAGCCAAGCCGCGUGAAGGACGAAGGUGCCAAGUAUUGUAAACUUCUUUUGUCAAGGGACAAAAUCAGGCACGCGUGCCUGACCGAGGGUACUUGAAGAAAAAGCAUCGGCUACCUCCGUGCCCGCAGCCGCGGUAAUACGGAGGAUGCGAGCGUUAUCCGGAUUUAUUGGGUUUAAAGGGUGCGUAGGCGGACUGUUAAGUCAGCGGUAAAAGCCCGGGGCUCAACCCCGGCGAGCCGGUGAAACUGGCUGUCGUGAGAUGUCGAGAGGUAUGCGGAAUGCGCAGUGUAGCGGUGAAAUGCUUAGAUAUUGCGCAGAACUCCGAUUGCGAAGGCAGCAUACCGGCGGCGAGCUGACGCUGAGGCACGAAAGCGUGGGUAUCGAACAGGAUUAGAUACCCUUGUAGUC
RNAcentral lists this ribosomal RNA (459 nucleotides) under uncultured bacterium. RNAcentral describes it as "partial 16S ribosomal RNA". It matches the Rfam family "Bacterial small subunit ribosomal RNA", at positions 338 to 795 of the family's 1533-position model. The record is from RNAcentral.